Molecule: small nuclear RNA, 288 nt
Filed under: Microtus ochrogaster (prairie vole)
Lineage: Eukaryota; Metazoa; Chordata; Mammalia; Rodentia; Cricetidae
Description: 7SK RNA (ENSMOCG00000006386.1)
Rfam family: 7SK RNA
About the family: 7SK was discovered as an abundant small nuclear RNA in the mid-70s but a possible function has only recently been suggested. Two independent studies have found that 7SK RNA binds the CDK9/cyclin T complex (known as elongation factor P-TEFb). P-TEFb activates transcription by phosphorylating the C-terminal domain of RNA polymerase II.
Source: RNAcentral
GGACACGAGGGCAUCUGACUGUGGCAUCUGUCACCCCACUGAUUGCCAGGGUUGAUUUGGCUGAUCUGGCUGCCUAAGCAGGUGUCCCCAUCCUCCCUCAUGGCUCCAUGUGUCCCUGCUCAUGCUGCAGCUCAGUUGAUGAGGAUGACUUUCCCCAUACGAAAGAGGACAAGUCUCUGGCCAGCUGCUGUGCUCUCCUUAGGGCCUCUAAACAAGCCCCCUAGUGUGCACUUGUGUCCACGGCAUCUAAUUCUUACUCUUCUGCCCUGGGUUUACUUGGCAGCCUGG